CUUCCGAGCCGCAUGGAAGGAGUUUUCGCUGAGGGCUCCCAUGCCAGCUGCUUAAAAAACCCCAGCUGGCAGCACGGGGGUCCCAGUGGUGGGUUAUAAUGUGAUGGCAGAAGGAGGUGGCCGCAGCCAUGUCCCCACAGCGCUGGCAGGUGUGGGGUGGCAGGAGCGGCUGUGCUGGAGAGGGGAAAGGGCGCUGUGUUGUAACCGCGGGGAGGGCCAGCGCUGGGACCGGCUCUGGCGCAGCCCAGUACCGCCACCGAGGAAGCAGGCGGCCGCCGGCGCUCGCCCGGCUGGGGAUGCGGGGACACGGAGGCGAAGGCUGGAGGGACAUGGUCCUCACUGGAGCUGCUGGAGGUGCACCAGGACUGUACACCCCCCGGACAGCAAGAGCCAGGCAAAGCCAGCGUGCCAGCACAAAGCCGGCAGCCCCCACGAGCAAACCAGCACCAUCCCCAGCUCCCACCACCCGGCGUGCAGGAGGGCUGGUUCCUGGGGCAUGGGGAAGUGCUGAGCCAGGCAUUGCUCCUUUGUGAAAAGGCACUGCACCGCUUUGCAGGGAGGUGCUCAUGGGGUGUGCAUGGCACUGGGCGUGCAGGAGGCUGGGGACGGGGCUGAGGCUGGGCUCUGCCAUGGUGCAGGGCAGGGAGGCAGCAAGAGGAGGCCUGCAGGCAGCCCUGCCCCGCGGUGCUGAGCCCCCUGUGGCUGUUCCCACACUUGGCCAGGGCUCAGGGCCCGCCUGGCCGGGGCUGGGAGCAGGGAUAACCUGGGCCGGUGGAGGCUGCUCCCAAACCUACCUCCUGGGUGACUCACGCCGUGACAUGGGCACCAAGUCUGGGGCACCGUCGGGCUCUCCCCUUUCUCUCCUCCCAGGAAACCCGGGGACGGCAGGUUGGGGUCCUGGCACAGGCGUUGGGCUCUUUGUGCCCCGGUUCCUGGCCAGGCACAGCCACCCCCGGGGGCCGGGGGGGGCCAGUGCCGGAUGCCGGGGGCCGCACCGGAGCCGCGCCAUCUGCUUCUCGUCAGGCUGCCGGGAGCACCGUGGCUGCCGGGGCCCGGCAGCGGGACGCUGCGGUGAUGGAUGGUCUGUUUAUCAUGGCUCAGCUCUGCUCAGGAUGUUAGUGCUUGCCUGCAAAAGAUAUUUCUGGGCUUGGCCGCUCCCUCCAUCCUCCCCCUCCUCCUGCUCCCCCUAGACCCUCUCCCUUGGGGCCGCAGUGAGGGAGCAGGGGGUGAGCAGGGGGUGAGUAGGGGGUGUCCCUCGUGCAGCCCCUGGCCUGCGUCUGAGCUCCCGGAGCUGGGGUGAAGCCUUCCUGCAGGUGCUGAUGGGGACAGGGAUGGAGACAGGGAUGGGAAAGACCGUGGGGCUUUCACAUGCUUCUCAUCCCCUGGUGCCUGAGCUGGGGUGGGACUGGCUCUGGGAGCAGCAUCCUGGGAUGGGAAGGGGCAGAGGUCAGGGAGAGAAGCACUGUGCUGGACCCCCCAUCCCCACACUGUCCUGGGGGUGUCCUGGCCCUGCUGAGGAGCAGUCCUGCAUCCUGGAACCAUCCCAGCAGCCACAUCCCUGUGCUUUGGGACCCCCAGCAGCGACACCCCAGUGCUGGAUCCAGGUCCUGGGUCCCUCAGAAGCACCCUUGGGAUGCACAGACACCAGUUUCCAGCCCUUCUCCCAGCACGGAAGUUUAUCUCAGCCCAUGCUGCAGCCUACCCGGCCAUGCCCUCCCACCUCACCAAGCCCCCAGCCCCUGUCCAUCCCUGCAGCCAUGAAGUCUGUCUGUCCAGCAGAGCAGCCACACAGCCGUGCCAUGGCACAACUUGCAGCGAGGCAGCGAGCGCGGCCACGGGCUCCUCCAUGUCUCCCAGCCCAAGGUGCAGUGCUGCAUCUCUGGUCAAUUGGGAGUCUGAGAUGAAGCACUGUAGCUCGGGAAGGGAGGAACUGUGCCCUGGGACCCCCGACACCCCCCGGACCACGGCCUGCCGCAAGGACCGAUGGAAGCAGAUGGAUGCGCAGCGGGAUGGGAGCACAGCUCGUGGCUGGGGGGCAGGCUCCGGAGGGGCUUCUCAGGGCAUAGGAUGGGAGCAGGACUGAUGGUAGGGGUCUGCCCCCUCCAUCCUGCCAGUCUCUAGGGCCAGGUUCCCACCACCAAGGGAGCGGGGAGUUCUUCCAGACAUGCUUUGGAUGCAGCCCCAUAGUCUCCUGGCUGGUAGGGGAGCAGAGGGGAGGGUGCCUGCGGGCAGCCAGCAUGUCUCCAGGAGACCCAGAAGGAUGCUGAGCCCCCAGAAGGAUGCUGAGCCCCAGCUAUGGGGAAGGGCUCAUCCCACAGCUCCACACCCCUGCAAGGGGAAGGGGAAGAGGAGGAGCCCACAAAAAGCACUGACGGUUCUGGAGGUUUCUCCUUUGGCUGAGGGACCCCCCCUGUGUCUGCUCAGGACCCCCAGCCCGGCACUGGGCACCAGCAGGGAGGUGGCACAGAAGGGUGGGGGGCCAUGCGUGGUGGAGGUGCUGCGGGGGGACAACGGGGAUGUGGCAGCUGCCGGAGGAGGGGACAUGCAGGGCAGGGACUGGGGGAGAGCUGCGGCCGCCGUGCUCUCAGGGUCCAGUUUUCCCAGGAAUCCCUUAGGCGUUCUGUUGGGGAUUCCUGGAAAUACUGUUCUUGGGGCCAUGGCUCUGCAUCAGGAGAUGGCCCGACCCCGAGGGGAGCCACGGCAUCUGGAGGAGCCAGGGACAAGGUAUGGGGUCAUGCCUGGGGGCUGGGAGUGGGGGUGGGAACCCAACAGAUGUGGGGCAGCACACAGCCCAGCCCAGGAAAUCCCAAUCCCCAAAGACCGGGGGAUGACGGAUGUCCCCUUGGGUCACAGCCCCCUGCGAGAGAACACCGCUGGUGGCCUUUCACCCUGCUUCUGCCCUUCGGUGCCCUCCUGGAGGGGUGGGUCUCAGCAGGCCCACGUGCAUGUCACCUCGCCACCCUUGCGCCAAUAAAGGUCUCAGCUCCAA
Molecule: long non-coding RNA, 2989 nt
Organism: Cygnus atratus (black swan)
Lineage: Eukaryota; Metazoa; Chordata; Aves; Anseriformes; Anatidae
Exons: 3
Source: RefSeq, a predicted model, not a curated record